RNAcentral lists this ribosomal RNA (940 nucleotides) under termite gut metagenome. RNAcentral's name for it is "bacterial SSU rRNA". It matches the Rfam family "Bacterial small subunit ribosomal RNA", at positions 8 to 955 of the family's 1533-position model. The record is from RNAcentral.
AGAGUUUGAUCCUGGCUCAGGAUGAACGCUAGCGACAGGCUUAACACAUGCAAGUCGAGGGGCAUCACGAUAUAGUAAUAUAUUGGUGGCGACCGGCGCACGGGUGAGUAACACGUAUGCAACCUGUCCUUCACCGGGGUAUAUCCCAUGGAAACGUGGAUUAAUCCCCCAUAGAGUCUUGUAUCUGCAUGGAUGUAAGAUGAAAGAAUUUCGGUGAUGUGAUGGGCAUGCGUCCUAUUAGGUAGUAGGCGGGGUAACGGCCCACCUAGCCGACGAUAGGUAGGGGUUCUGAGAGGAAGGUCCCCCACACUGGAACUGAGACACGGUCCAGACUCCUACGGGAGGCAGCAGUGAGGAAUAUUGGUCAAUGGCCUGACGGCUGAACCAGCCAAGUCGCGUGAGGGAUGACAGCCCUAUGGGUUUUAAACCUCUUUUGUUGGAGAAGAAUAAAAAUCACGUGUGAUUUGAUGCCAGUAUCCAACGAAUAAGCAUCGGCUAACUCCGUGCCAGCAGCCGCGGUAAUACGGAGGAUGCGAGCGUUAUCCGGAUUUAUUGGGUUUAAAGGGUGCGUAGGCUGUUUCGGUAAAAUCGUCGGGCUUCACCCGAUCCCGCCGUUAAAACUGCAUGACUAGAGUACAUUUGAGGCAGGCGGAAUAAGUUAAGUAGCGGUGAAAUGCUUAGAUAUAACUUAGAACCCCGAUUGCGUAGGCAGCUUGCCAAACUGUAACUGACGCUGAUGCACGAGAGCGUGGGUAUCGAACAGGAUUAGAUACCCUGGUAGUCCACGCUGUAAACUAUGCUUACUGGCUCUAUGCGAUAUAUAGUAUGGGGCUGAGCGAAAGUAUUAAGUAAGCCACCUGGGGAGUACGUUCGCAAGAAUGAAACUCAAAGGAAUUGACGGGGGCCCGCACAAGCGGAGGAACAUGUGGUUUAAUUCGAU